Non-coding RNA from Pogona vitticeps (central bearded dragon), 625 nucleotides. The record is from RefSeq and is a predicted model, not a curated record. NCBI's taxonomy places the organism in Eukaryota, Metazoa, Chordata, Lepidosauria, Squamata, Agamidae.
UGUGGGGUGCAAAAAACGGAAAAAGUGGAAUGCAGGAGAGAAAAUGGAUUGGACAGAUUAGGCAGGCCAAAUGUUGGGGGAAACCUUUCCACAUUAAUACUUGAUUGAGAGGUAGACUGCUCCAGAACAGGCAGGUUCUGUUGAGCCUUCCUUCAAAACAGCCGUUAUCUCCCCCUCCCUGCCACCAAUUCCAUCUGUUUAGCCUUCUCGGUGGGCUUGUGUGGCUGCUCCUCUUCCGGGGGGGCUCGUGGCGGGGUGAUUUCUACCCGUUCACCCUGCUUUCUCUUCCGCCAGUGGAGAACCCGGCUCACUGCGACUUUGUCAAGCUGCGCACCAUGCUGAUACGGACCCACAUGCAGGACCUGAAAGACGUGACGCGGGAGACGCAUUACGAGAACUACCGGGCCCAGUGCAUCCAAAGUAUGACCCGGAUGGUGGUCAAGGAGCGGAACCGCAAGCAUGAAGAGGAAAGACAGAAAAUGUAGUCGUAGCCAAACUGCUUUCAACUCCCACAUUUUUCCCCUCCUCAAAUGACUAUUUAAAGGCCUUCAAAGCAAGACAGGAAUUGACGGCUGCCACUGCCUGAAAACUGUUUUGGGAACAAAAUAAAUUAUACCCGUUGGAA